Molecule: non-coding RNA, 302 nt
Organism: Pelobates cultripes (western spadefoot toad)
Lineage: Eukaryota; Metazoa; Chordata; Amphibia; Anura; Pelobatidae
Source: the annotation of a GenBank genome assembly
GAAGCUCAGUGUUGAGGAAACACUGUCACUGUCAUACAUUCCUCAGGGAAGGUCUGAGAUUAGAACCAUCUAUUGUCUUAACAAGGUAUUGCUUGGUUUGAGCAAAUGAGUUACCAUCAACAGGGCCAGAUUAAGAGCCCAGUGGGCCUGGUGCUGACAAUUAUGAUGGACCUAGUUACAAAAUUUUAUUGACCAAAAAUACCAAAACAGUCCUACCUCCUAAGCAUCAUGUAUCUGAUGGAGAUGGUGCUGGAGGGAAACUCAUAGGAUGCAGCUAUGAGAAAACACACACCCACGCUUUC